UUCCAGCUCCAAUAGCGUAUAUUAAAGUUGUUGCGGUUAAAAAGCUCGUAGUUGAAUUUGUGUCCCGCACUGUCGGUUCACCGCCCGCGGUGCUAACUGGCAUGUUUGCGGGACGUCCUGCCGGUGGAUGUUCAAUAGUAGGUAUUGAUUCUUUCGGGGGUCUUUCCUACUAUUUCAUCCGACUUAUAAAUCCUGUCGCGGUGCUCUUAACUGAGUGUCGAGGCGGGCCGGCACGUUUACUUUGAACAAAUUAGAGUGCUCAAAGCAGGCUAAUUAAUGCCUGAAUAAUUAGUGCAUGGAAUAAUGGAACAGGACCUUGGUUCUAUUUUGUUGGUUUUCGGAACCCCAAGGUAAUGAUUAAUAGGGACAGAUGG
This 374-nucleotide ribosomal RNA is filed under the name Pterostichus unctulatus. Its description in RNAcentral is "bacterial SSU rRNA". It matches the Rfam family "Eukaryotic small subunit ribosomal RNA", at positions 583 to 885 of the family's 1831-position model. The record is from RNAcentral. Lineage: Eukaryota; Metazoa; Arthropoda; Insecta; Coleoptera; Carabidae.